This 315-nucleotide ribosomal RNA is filed under the name Triticum aestivum (bread wheat). RNAcentral's name for it is "partial small subunit ribosomal RNA". Lineage: Eukaryota; Viridiplantae; Streptophyta; Magnoliopsida; Poales; Poaceae. The record is from RNAcentral.
AUGGCGGACAGAGUGACGAAUCUGGCGUCGCAGCGGGCGGUGGUGAUCUUCGGAGCGAGCAACUGCUGCAUGUGCCACGUGGUGAACACACUCUUCACAGAGCUGGGCGUGAGCUGGACGGUGCACGAGCUGGACAAGGACCCCCGCGGGAAGGACGUCGAGAGGGUGCUCGUUGGCAUGGUCGGACGCAACCCGCCUGCGCCGGCCGUCUUCAUCGGCGGCAGACUUGUCGGCACCACCGACCAGGUCAUGAUGCUGCACGUUGGCGGCCAGCUCGUGCUGCUCCUCCGCCAGGCCGGCGCCCUCUGGCUCUGA